AAGUCGUAACAAGGUUUCCGUAGGUGAACCUGCGGAAGGAUCAUUAACAAAUCAUUGAGCGCAAGCUCAUCAACCUUUGUGAAUAGGCUUGCGCAAGCAAGUUAGAUGGGACGAGGGAGGCGGUGGUUAGGUGUGUUUAGGCUAGGUUAGGCUAGGUGCUGAAGCAAUUUAGUCUUACCUUACCUAUUCACGUUAGCUUAGCGCCGCUACAUUAAUAUUGUCUGAUUACAUUUGGAGGUCGAAAGAUUUCUAAUAAUAAUACAACUUUUAACAAUGGAUCUCUUGGCUCUU
RNAcentral lists this unclassified non-coding RNA (291 nucleotides) under fungal sp. RNAcentral describes it as "partial internal transcribed spacer region". The stretch from base 1 to 46 matches the Rfam family "Eukaryotic small subunit ribosomal RNA", at positions 1786 to 1831 of the family's 1831-position model. Lineage: Eukaryota; Fungi. The record is from RNAcentral.